RNAcentral lists this ribosomal RNA (862 nucleotides) under uncultured bacterium. RNAcentral describes it as "bacterial SSU rRNA". It matches the Rfam family "Bacterial small subunit ribosomal RNA", at positions 9 to 873 of the family's 1533-position model. The record is from RNAcentral.
AGAGUUUGAUCCUGGCUCAGAUUGAACGCUGGCGGCAGGCCUAACACAUGCAAGUCGAACGGUAACAGGAAGAAGCUUGCUUCUUUGCUGACGAGUGGCGGACGGGUGAGUAAUGUCUGGGAAACUGCCUGAUGGAGGGGGAUAACUACUGGAAACGGUAGCUAAUACCGCAUAACGUCGCAAGACCAAAGAGGGGGACCUUCGGGCCUCUUGCCAUCGGAUGUGCCCAGAUGGGAUUAGCUAGUAGGUGGGGUAACGGCUCACCUAGGCGACGAUCCCUAGCUGGUCUGAGAGGAUGACCAGCCACACUGGAACUGAGACACGGUCCAGACUCCUACGGGAGGCAGCAGUGGGGAAUAUUGCACAAUGGGCGCAAGCCUGAUGCAGCCAUGCCGCGUGUAUGAAGAAGGCCUUCGGGUUGUAAAGUACUUUCAGCGGGGAGGAAGGGAGUAAAGUUAAUACCUUUGCUCAUUGACGUUACCCGCAGAAGAAGCACCGGCUAACUCCGUGCCAGCAGCCGCGGUAAUACGGAGGGUGCAAGCGUUAAUCGGAAUUACUGGGCGUAAAGCGCACGCAGGCGGUUUGUUAAGUCAGAUGUGAAAUCCCCGGGCUCAACCUGGGAACUGCAUCUGAUACUGGCAAGCUUGAGUCUCGUAGAGGGGGGUAGAAUUCCAGUGUAGCGGUGAAAUGCGUAGAGAUCUGGAGGAAUACCGGUGGCGAAGCGGNCCCUGGACGAAGACUGACGCUCAGUGCGAAGCGUGGGGAGCAACAGGAUAGAUACCUGGUAGUCCACGCCGUAACGAUGUCGACUGNGGUUGNGGCCCUGAGCGUGGCUUCGGAGCUACGCGUUAGUCGACNNCUG